UAUGGCCAUAUUGCAUUGAAGCACUGGUUCUUGUAUCAUCAUCAAAGUUAAGCAAUGUUGAGUCUGGUCAGUACUUAGAUAGGUGAUCACUUGGGAAUACCAGGUGUUGUAA
This is a non-coding RNA of Acanthosepion pharaonis, 112 nucleotides long. The record is from the annotation of a GenBank genome assembly. Lineage: Eukaryota; Metazoa; Mollusca; Cephalopoda; Sepiida; Sepiidae.